AUUGAACGCUGGCGGCAGGCCUAACACAUGCAAGUCGAACGGUAACAGGAAGAAGCUUGCUUCUUUGCUGACGAGUGGCGGACGGGUGAGUAAUGUCUGGGCAACUGCCUGAUGGAGGGGGAUAACUACUGGAAACGGUAGCUAAUACCGCAUAACGUCGCAAGACCAAAAAGGGGGACCUUCGGGCCUCUUGCCAUCGGAUGUGCCCAGGUGGGAUUAGCUAGUAGGUGGGGUAACGGCUCACCUAGGCGACGAUCCCUAGCUGGUCUGAGAGGAUGACCAGCCACACUGGAACUGAGACACGGUCCAGACUCCUACGGGAGGCAGCAGUGGGGAAUAUUGCACAAAGGGCGCAAGCCUGAUGCAGCCAUGCCGCGUGUGUGAAGAAGGCCUUCGGGUUGUAAAGUACUUUCAGCGGGGAGGAAGGGAGUUAAGUUAAUACCUUUGCUCAUUGACGUUACCCGCAGAAGAAGCACCGGCUAACUCCGUG
Molecule: ribosomal RNA, 490 nt
Filed under: uncultured bacterium
Lineage: Bacteria
Description: partial 16S ribosomal RNA
Rfam family: Bacterial small subunit ribosomal RNA
Source: RNAcentral